ACAAAACAAGAGAAAUCUCACGGUCGAGAUAUACCAAAAAAUCCAAACUCCGGAGCCCGACCAGGUCGCGCGGAUGGGGUGCGGAAACACUUCUCUCUCUUACCUCGUUGGCAGAGGUGAAAGAGCUUUGGGCAGUCGCAGCCGAACAGGCUCCGUCGCCUUAAAUUCAGACGAGCUCGACCGCGACCCGGGCUUCAGGCAGGUCGCAAAAAACACCGCUCGGCAUCGUCGGUCAUUGUUCCGAUGUUGUAAGCGCCCGAGUAUGUACUUCUCACGUAUACGAUUUUUUUGGUUUUCACCGGAAAAGAGGGGAGGUCGAGAGCAGGCUAAGUCUCUCGGUCCUUUUCCUCGGUCGCGUCAGGCGUACCUCGUUGCGCGCCUCGACCGACCGAAUCACUUGGCAUCUUUUUUAUUGA
This 416-nucleotide unclassified non-coding RNA is filed under the name Saccostrea sp. non-mordax lineage J. RNAcentral's name for it is "ITS1 type: IRS38_1". Lineage: Eukaryota; Metazoa; Mollusca; Bivalvia; Ostreida; Ostreidae. The record is from RNAcentral.